RNAcentral lists this ribosomal RNA (495 nucleotides) under uncultured bacterium. Its description in RNAcentral is "partial 16S ribosomal RNA". It matches the Rfam family "Bacterial small subunit ribosomal RNA", at positions 28 to 507 of the family's 1533-position model. The record is from RNAcentral.
GACGAACGCUGGCGGCGUGCCUAAUACAUGCAAGUAGAACGCUGAAGGAGGAGCUUGCUUCUCUGGAUGAGUUGCGAACGGGUGAGUAACGCGUAGGUAACCUGCCUGGUAGCGGGGGAUAACUAUUGGAAACGAUAGCUAAUACCGCAUAAGAGUAGAUGUUGCAUGACAUUUGCUUAAAUGGUGCAAUUGCAUCACUACCAGAUGGACCUGCGUUGUAUUAGCUAGUUGGUGAGGUAACGGCUCACCAAGGCGACGAUACAUAGCCGACCUGAGAGGGUGAUCGGCCACACUGGGACUGAGACACGGCCCAGACUCCUACGGGAGGCAGCAGUAGGGAAUCUUCGGCAAUGGACGGAAGUCUGACCGAGCAACGCCGCGUGAGUGAAGAAGGUUUUCGGAUCGUAAAGCUCUGUUGUAAGAGAAGAACGAGUGUGAGAGUGGAAAGUUCACACUGUGACGGUAUCUUACCAGAAAGGGACGGCUAACUACGUG